UGGGGAAUUUUUGACAAUGGGGGAAACCCUGAUCCAGCCAUCCCGCGUGUGCGAUGAAGGCCUUCGGGUUGUAAAGCACUUUUUGCAGGAAAGAAACGUCAUGGGUUAAUACCCCGUGAAACUGACGGUACCUGCAGAAUAAGCACCGGCUAACUACGUGCCAGCAGCCGCGGUAAUACGUAGGGUGCAAGCGUUAAUCGGAAUUACUGGCCGUAAAGCGUGCGCAGGCGGUUCGGAAAGAAAGAUGUGAAAUCCCAGAGCUCAACUUGGGAACUGCAUUUUUAACUACAGGGCUAGGGGGUGUAAGAGGGAGGUGGAAUUCCGCGUGUAGCAGUGAAAUGCGUAGAUAUGCGGAGAAACACGGAUGGGGAAGGCAGCCUCCGGGGAUAACACUGACGCUCAUGCACGAAAGGGUGGGGAGCAAACAGG
RNAcentral lists this ribosomal RNA (429 nucleotides) under Acidobacteriota bacterium. RNAcentral describes it as "Acidobacteria bacterium partial 16S ribosomal RNA". It matches the Rfam family "Bacterial small subunit ribosomal RNA", at positions 355 to 776 of the family's 1533-position model. Lineage: Bacteria; Pseudomonadati; Acidobacteriota. The record is from RNAcentral.